Molecule: transfer RNA, 76 nt
Filed under: Nocardioides alkalitolerans
Lineage: Bacteria; Bacillati; Actinomycetota; Actinomycetes; Propionibacteriales; Nocardioidaceae
Also listed under: 1 other name
Description: tRNA-Glu
Rfam family: tRNA
About the family: Transfer RNA (tRNA) molecules are approximately 80 nucleotides in length.
Source: RNAcentral
GCCCCCGUUGUGUAGCGGCCUAGCACGUCGCCCUCUCAAGGCGGUAGCGCCGGUUCGAAUCCGGUCGGGGGUACCA